RNAcentral lists this ribosomal RNA (617 nucleotides) under Salmonella enterica. RNAcentral describes it as "bacterial SSU rRNA". It matches the Rfam family "Bacterial small subunit ribosomal RNA", at positions 763 to 1380 of the family's 1533-position model. The record is from RNAcentral. Lineage: Bacteria; Pseudomonadati; Pseudomonadota; Gammaproteobacteria; Enterobacterales; Enterobacteriaceae.
GGGGAGCAAACAGGAUUAGAUACCCUGGUAGUCCACGCCGUAAACGAUGUCUACUUGGAGGUUGUGCCCUUGAGGCGUGGCUUCCGGAGCUAACGCGUUAAGUAGACCGCCUGGGGAGUACGGCCGCAAGGUUAAAACUCAAAUGAAUUGACGGGGGCCCGCACAAGCGGUGGAGCAUGUGGUUUAAUUCGAUGCAACGCGAAGAACCUUACCUGGUCUUGACAUCCACGGAAGAAUCCAGAGAUGGAUUUGUGCCUUCGGGAACCGUGAGACAGGUGCUGCAUGGCUGUCGUCAGCUCGUGUUGUGAAAUGUUGGGUUAAGUCCCGCAACGAGCGCAACCCUUAUCCUUUGUUGCCAGCGGUCCGGCCGGGAACUCAAAGGAGACUGCCAGUGAUAAACUGGAGGAAGGUGGGGAUGACGUCAAGUCAUCAUGGCCCUUACGACCAGGGCUACACACGUGCUACAAUGGCGCAUACAAAGAGAAGCGACCUCGCGAGAGCAAGCGGACCUCAUAAAGUGCGUCGUAGUCCGGAUUGGAGUCUGCAACUCGACUCCAUGAAGUCGGAAUCGCUAGUAAUCGUGGAUCAGAAUGCCACGGUGAAUACGUUCCCGGGCC